GAGGGAGCUUCUGCUGUAUGGCUGUGUUCUGUUCCCCAGGGCUUAGAACCUAAAGAUUAAAGCUGUCUGCCUGGAUACCAACCACCCAACUUCAGAAAUGGCUGCAUUUUAUUAGUGGAUGAAAUGAUUUUUAUAUGCCAGGAGCUGAUAAAAGCACUUUGAGGCUCAUGAUACAUAUGCUGCUGAUCUUCAGUCUCACAUUUCCUUCUGGGGGACUCCCACACACAAUCUAUUCUUUGAAGCAUGGAAAAUUUUGUAAGGCAGGAUUCAUCGAACUGUGGGGGCACAGAACAGAAGAUCCAAUCCAAAUGUAAGGGUGUUUUUUUCCAAUGACUUCAAUCAGAGCAGGAUUGCGCCACCACUAAGAAGACCUUCAUAAAGACCCUGGGUGCUGUUGCCAGACCCAGGCAGUGGAGAAAGAGAAACUCUAUAGUGUAGCCAAAGUGGAUAUCCUCUGUUAUACGUCUCCAGUUGUGGACACAGAAUGCUAGAUGGCCACCAAAACAGACUUCAGAAACAGGUGAGAGCAGGAAAGAGAAGACCUCCUUCCACCACAGUUCAGUCUGGAAGCAGAAUCAGGAAGAAAGCAAGGAGGUGGCACUGGAAGAAAGAGACCGAAUAAAUGUACUUGAGCUACCACCAAGGAUCAUCUCUUGAAGACAGUGCAGGUACUAUCACUGUAGAAGACAAAAGAAGUCAAUUUUGCAAGCUUUGCUUUGCACCUAGCAGAAAUUAAAGUCCCUGUUGUCAAUCUAUCUCCCAACUGCCUUUGUACUCCAGACAGGAUGAACCCUGUUCCCACCCUACACCUGGUGUGGAGUACAUCCUCCAAAUGAGGAGCAGAGCCAAGGUUCCACCCAGUCUGUGCCUUACGUGUGAGGUGAGACAUAGGUUCCUCUCCUCUCCACCCUUAGACAAUAUGCGUACCUGGUGCUGGGGCAUAAGGACACCUUGCACCCCAGGCAUUAUCUGGUUUUAACUGAAGUUCUCAUGUUCCACUGUAUUCUGCUUUGUGUAAAAUUAUAGCAGGUUGCACAUUUUAAGCUCAGACAUAACUGGGCUUCAUUUUUAUUUUUUUAUCUGAAACCCUUUGUGUACUCAGUUAAGGUCACUUGGAUUUCUAGCUCCCUAUUGCCCACUUGAAUCAAGUACUUUGGUAUCAAAGUGACCUUAAUUUCAGCCACAAAUAGAUGCAGGCUCAAAACUGCAAUUGCACUUAUUUGUGAUUUGCAAUUUACUGGUAGAGACUAGCUUUACAAAAUCUGGCUUUUCAUUUACAAGCAAAUGAUAGGCAUUUAUUCAAAGAGUUGAAUUGAUCCUGAUAGCUUUUUAGU
Long non-coding RNA from Chelonia mydas (Green sea turtle), 1334 nucleotides. RefSeq lists it as uncharacterized. The record is from RefSeq and is a predicted model, not a curated record. The transcript has 6 exons. Lineage: Eukaryota; Metazoa; Chordata; Testudines; Cheloniidae.